This 69-nucleotide transfer RNA is filed under the name Marmota monax (woodchuck). RNAcentral's name for it is "tRNA.Ala". Lineage: Eukaryota; Metazoa; Chordata; Mammalia; Rodentia; Sciuridae. The record is from RNAcentral.
GUUUGUGGCUCAGUGGUAGAGUGCUCGCCUAGCAUGCAUGAGGCACUGUGUUUGAUCCUCAGCAUCACA